RNAcentral lists this ribosomal RNA (254 nucleotides) under uncultured bacterium. Its description in RNAcentral is "partial 16S ribosomal RNA". It matches the Rfam family "Bacterial small subunit ribosomal RNA", at positions 524 to 776 of the family's 1533-position model. The record is from RNAcentral.
UACGAAGGGGGCUAGCGUUGUUCGGAUUUACUGGGCGUAAAGCGCACGUAGGCGGGUCGUUAAGUCAGAGGUGAAAUCCCGGAGCUCAACUCCGGAACUGCCUUUGAUACUGGCGACCUUGAGGCUGGAAGAGGUUAGUGGAAUUCCCAGUGUAGAGGUGAAAUUCGUAGAUAUUGGGAAGAACACCAGUGGCGAAAGGCGGCUCACUGGUCCGGUUCUGACGCUGAGGCGCGAAAGCGUGGGGAGCAAACAGG